Camelus dromedarius (Arabian camel) is the source of this 2898-nucleotide long non-coding RNA. RefSeq lists it as uncharacterized. The transcript has 8 exons. Lineage: Eukaryota; Metazoa; Chordata; Mammalia; Artiodactyla; Camelidae. The record is from RefSeq and is a predicted model, not a curated record.
CGCGAGGGAGGCGCGCGCGAGCCCAGCGAAGGUUCCCACCGGAGGGGCUGGGGAGGAGACCUCGGCGAGGAGGAGUAGGGUCUCUCCCCCGCCCCCCACCUCCUCUCCCCUCCGUCCUCCUUCGCGCCCUUUCCUUGGGCUCUUCCUCCCCUGGCUCGGGUGGGGGUUGCCAGGCUCGGCGGCAGCCGCGGCUUGGGCGCGCUGGGAGAGUGCGGAGGCCAGGAGGCGGCCGCGCCAGCUCCCCGCGCCGCUGGCCUGAGGCACCUGUGCGCGCUCACACCGCCGCUUGCUCUGUUGCGGCGGCUUCCCGGCUGAGAUCUGCCGGCGGUCGCCUUCCCUGUCUCUGCUUUCUGGUCAGAUUAUGAUCAUGCAUAUUCAUCCAUGACAUCUGUGUAGUCCCCCUAUUGCUGUCUGCUUCCCCGGGAGCUCUUUGGCACGGAGCGUCGGGCCAGAAGGCGUCGGCGGGGAGCUCGAUGCAGGCGACCAUCGCCAGCUCCUUGGAGCAGUUGCCUGGCAGGGGUGGCGGUGUUUGUUUGCCUCUUGGUUGACCAGCUAAUGAGUAACAGAAACCUCCAAGUUUAAGUUCAGCUAUCUCUAUCCAGCCACAGACUGUAUUUCCUGGCCUUCCUCAGAGCCAGCUUUAGCUGUGUGACUACAUUCUGGCUCACGGAAUGUGAAGAAACCUAUACAUGAAUGUUUAUAGAAGCUUGAUUCAUAAUUGCCAAAGAACUGGAAACAACCCAAAUGGUCUCCAACAGAGGACUGGAAGAGAGAAGAUAAGGAAAAGCCGUCAUUCUCUGUCAUCAGGAGGAGGAAGACACAUGGGGGUCCUCACUGAAACUCUACACAACUCCCAGCAACUUCUAGCAGUCAAGACGCCAGUGCAAGUGAGGGGCCCUGGCACAGCAAGUUCAUCAAGAUCAAGUUCCAUCUGUUGAAACAUCGUGCAAAUUCAGACUAUGACUCCAGAGCCAGUUGCCUUACCUGACAAGUACUGAACCUGGAAGCGAUAUUGUUCAUGUGAUCUACAAUCAGGCAUUCAAAAGGAUUAAGGAAAGGGGGCGACAGCUGAGACUAGAAGUCGUCUUAAAAAGCUUAAAUCACUGCCAGAAUGUGCUUCUUAAAUGAAUUUCUGGUGCAGCUAUUCUCCAGCUCUGGAAAAUGUUCUCCACUUUGGAAAAGCCUCAUGAUACUUUGGAAACCUAUGCCGAGUAAAAGUCUUAUAAGCUUCAAGACUGAUGCGGCCACUGAUUCCUUGGAGAAAUGCUGAUUCCAAAAAUGUGGCUGGGAAAGUACAAGAUAAGCCUGGGACAUCUUGCCUGAAAUCAGAAGGACUCAAAAAAUGUAGAGACAUGUUCUUAAGACACAGGAGCCAGCUUGAGGGGGCAACAACUGACUAAAUCUGGAAUAAUUUGUCAUCAAAAUAACAAAUAAGAAUAAAUGACAGACAUUAAAAUAAAAAUUCAUAAAUCUAUAUUGAUUUUUUUAAUGUAAAAAUAAAUGGAAUAAAGAAAACUCAGAAUGCCAACUAAUAAGUGUAGAUGGAAUGAUGGAAUUAGAUGAUCACAAUUUUGUUACCAUCACAGUAACUAUAUCAAGCAAGAAUCAUUAAUGGAUAUUAAAUUAGGGAUUAAAAGUUUAUGAGAAACAGGAUAUCUACAUAUUGACAAAGUAUCUUGCCAAAAGAUAACCAAUUAACUACAAAGGGAGACAACAGUGCAGAACCUAACAGACAUCACCUUUAACAAGUAACCAAAAUUACUUUGUCCGUUAAUUUUGAGUAAGUAGAUAUCAUGUGUCUACAGAGAGGAUGCCCUAAGAAGAAAACAGAAUCACUGCUAUGGCAUUUCUGUCAAAAUUAAUCUGGAUCUCAUCAUGAGGAAACAUCAGACAAUAUAUUAAGAUACAUAUAUACGUACAUAUGUACACAUAUUACAAUAUGUAUGUAAAAUCAUACACAAUGUAACAUAUAAGAGAGUGUGUGUGUGUAAUGAUAAAGCAAAUGUGGCAAAAUAUUACCAUUUCGUGAAUCUGUAGGAAAAAUAUACAGGGAGUUGUUAAGUUGUAUUAUUUUUGAAACUUUUAAGUCUUAAAUUAUUUGAAAAUUGAAAGAAAAAAUUAAAAAAAGACUAUCACCAGCAAACUGGAAGAUAUGAACUGUCUUCUGAGAAGUUUAUUCCCAGGAAGAGCCAACUCAUACAGUCCUUUAAACUCUGCACUGCAGGGCUCCAGGGACUGAUAUUCCUGUGUAUGGAAUGUGACAGUCCUGUGCACAGGAGUAAAGGGAUGAUAUAACCAUUUCAGCCUGCCUCUAUGAUUUAUUGUCCCAAAAUUUUCAAGUUGUCAAGAUAAAAAUAAAUCCUUCCCUUUCCCUAAAGAAAGUGAGAAUUUUGACAAGCCAUGAAGUAGGGGGAAAAAAAAAAACCUAUGGACGUAAUAUGAUCUCAACUAUAUUAAAGAUAUAUACAGAAGAAGAAAGAGUACUGAAACAUGUAUGAUUUCCUCUGGGCAAUCAUUUACUUAGUGAUAUUUUCUUAUGCUGCCUUCUAAAAUUAGAACAGAGUAUUUCACAAGGAAGAAAAGUUUGUUUGGGGUAGGUAUUUUAUAAUCAAUGGUACUGAAUAUUGACAAAUCACAGAGAAUGGAAUAAACAACUACUGGAUUUAGAAAUUUGUAAGACACUGAUUUUUGUAAUGUUGAUCAGCUGAAUGGCGUGAAAUGCAUGGAGGAGUCGGGAUAUAUAAUAGGAAAAAUACUGAUCUUGGAAUUGGAAGAUCUAAGUUCAAAUCAGCUAUUCUGACCUACUUGUGUGACAUCAUCUUAAAAAAAUUAAUUCUUCUAUUUUUGGACAAAGUUGAUCUGUAAAUCAUGCAAGAUACGUAUACGAAAUAAAAUGUA